RNAcentral lists this ribosomal RNA (374 nucleotides) under uncultured bacterium. RNAcentral's name for it is "bacterial SSU rRNA". It matches the Rfam family "Bacterial small subunit ribosomal RNA", at positions 524 to 898 of the family's 1533-position model. The record is from RNAcentral.
GACGGAGGGUGCUAGCGUUGUUCGGAAUUACUGGGCGUAAAGGGCGCGUAGGCGGCCAGGUAAGUCGGGUGUGAAAGCCCGGGGCUCAACCCCGGAACGGCACCCGAGACUGCGUGGCUCGAGACCGGAAGAGGUGAGUGGAAUACCCAGUGUAGAGGUGAAAUUCGUAGAUAUUGGGUGGAACACCGGUGGCGAAAGCGGCUCACUGGCCCGGUUCUGACGCUGAGGCGCGAAAGCGUGGGGAGCAAACAGGAUUAGAUACCCUGGUAGUCCACGCCCUAAACGAUGCGAGCUGGAUGUCGGGGGACUUGUCCCUCGGUGUCGAAGCUAACGUGAUAAGCUCGCCGCCUGGGGAGUACGGCCGCAAGGUUAAA